GUCGUGAGAUGUUGGGUUAAGUCCCGCAACGAGCGCAACCCUUGUCGUUAGUUGCCAGCGGUUCGGCCGGGCACUCUAACGAGACUGCCGGUGUUAAACCGGAGGAAGGUGGGGAUGACGUCAAGUCCUCAUGGCCCUUAUGCCCAGGGCUACACACGUGCUACAAUGGCCGGUACAAAGGGUUGCUAACCCGCGAGGGUACGCUAAUCCCAAAAAACCGGCCUCAGUUCAGAUUGAAGUCUGCAACUCGACUUCAUGAAGUCGGAAUCGCUAGUAAUCCCUGAUCAGCAGGCAGGGGUGAAUACGUUCCCGGGCCUUGUACACACCGCCCGUCACACCAUGGGAGUCAGUUGCUCCAGAAAUGGCUGCGCUAACCCGCAAGGGAGGCAGGUCCUUAAGGAGUGACUGGUAACUGGGGUGAAGUCGUAACAAGGUAGCCGUAUCGGAAGGUGCGGCUGGAUCACCUCCUUUCUGGAGAUUCGGCAGUCUCUUUGGAGGCUGUCCAUUUCUCGGUCAAUGUCACAGUUGUUGUUUGCGCGAACCGUCGGAGGUCGCGCAUGAACUUUGGUUUGCUGUUCGGCUUUGAGGGCCCGACGCACUUCUUGAAUUCUCUGGAGGUGCGACUGAAACUCAAACACGAAACGGGCCAGUAGCUCAGUUGGUUAGAGCACACGCUUGAUAAGCGUGGGGUCGAAAGUUCAAAUCUUUCCUGGCCCACUCUAGCUGGCUAACCGCUGGGGGCGUUAGCUCAGCUGGGAGAGCACCGGCUUUGCAAGCCGGGGGUCAAGGGUUCGAUCCCCUUACGCUCCACCCGACCCGACUCUUGACGAAGGCUGUGAAUCUCUUUAAGAUUCACGCCCUUCGCCGCGAGUUGAAACGACCCGCGGAGCACGUUCUCUGAAAAUCCAAUAGUAACGACGACGCGAAAGCGUGUCUUGAGUAUUGAAUCGUUCCGAGUCGCAAGCUCGGACGGUUUAGCAAUCAAGCGUCAAAGGACUAUGAGUGAUUGCAUCAAUGAAUCACUCGACCUUGUAGACGGCGUAUCGCGACAGAGAAAGUAGCGAUGCAACAAUUUUCGGCUAGACGGGCAGUUUGCCGUUUGGCCAACAAGUUGGUGAUCAAGCUACUAAGGGCGCACGGUGAAUGCCUUGGCGUCAGGAGGCGAUGAAGGACGUGGUUAGCUGCGAAAAGCUUCGGGGAGUCGCAAGCAGGCGUCGAUCCGGAGAUGU
Molecule: small RNA, 1229 nt
Filed under: uncultured Myxococcales bacterium
Lineage: Bacteria; Pseudomonadati; Myxococcota; Myxococcia; Myxococcales
Description: bacterial SSU rRNA
Rfam family: Bacterial small subunit ribosomal RNA (bases 1-471)
Source: RNAcentral